Molecule: long non-coding RNA, 337 nt
Organism: Amphimedon queenslandica
Lineage: Eukaryota; Metazoa; Porifera; Demospongiae; Haplosclerida; Niphatidae
Exons: 3
Source: RefSeq, a predicted model, not a curated record
CUGGAGUAACUGAUGGAUCAGUGAUACAAUCAUUGAUACAAGUUAUGACUGAUGAGAAUUACCAGCUCACUGGACCCUGACUCUAAGAAUCUGAAGAGUUAUUACGUGUGUAUCCUCCAUAUAUAAAUUAUUUUGAAGUCACUAAGGAGGCUCUCAGUUCCUGUGAUCGUCAGUUCCCAAGGUUUCAUGCUUUCCUUAAGUGUAAUGAGUCCAAACCAGAGUGUGGCCGCCAGACACUAUCAGAACUACUGAUAACACCAGUACAAAGAAUACCAAGGAUCAUAUUAUUACUACAAGAUUUAUUAAAGCGUACUGAUACUGGCCACAUUGAUUACAA